Molecule: ribosomal RNA, 502 nt
Filed under: uncultured bacterium
Lineage: Bacteria
Description: bacterial SSU rRNA
Rfam family: Bacterial small subunit ribosomal RNA
Source: RNAcentral
GACGAACGCUGGCGGCGCGCUUAACACAUGCAAGUCGAACGGAGCGCACGAGAAGAUCCCUUCGGGGUGAUUUUUGUGUUGCUUAGUGGCGAACGGGUGAGUAACACGUGAGCAACCUACCCUCCAGUGGGGGACAACAUCUGGAAACGGAUGCUAAUACCGCAUAAGACCACGUCCUCGCAUGGGGAUGAGGCCAAAGGAUUUAUUCGCUGGGGGAUGGGCUCGCGCCCGAUUAGAUAGUUGGUGGGGUAACGGCCUACCAAGUCGACGAUCGGUAGCCGGACUGAGAGGUUGAACGGCCACAUUGGGACUGAGACACGGCCCAGACUCCUACGGGAGGCAGCAGUGGGGAAUAUUGCACAAUGGGCGAAAGCCUGAUGCAGCGACGCCGCGUGAGGGAAGAAGGUUUUCGGAUUGUAAACCUCUGUCUUCGGGGACGAAGAAGUGACGGUACCCGAGGAGGAAGCCACGGCUAACUACGUGCCAGCAGCCGCGGUAACAC